GACGAACGCUGGCGGCGUGCUUAACACAUGCAAGUCGAACGGAAAGGCCCUGCUCUUGUGGGGUGCUCGAGUGGCGAACGGGUGAGUAACACGUGAGUAACCUGCCCUUGACUUUGGGAUAACUUCAGGAAACUGCGGCUAAUACCGGAUAGGAGCUCCUGCUGCAUGGUGGGGGUUGGAAAGUUUCGGCGGUUGGGGAUGGACUCGCGGCUUAUCAGCUUGUUGGUGGGGUAGUGGCUUACCAAGGCUUUGACGGGUAGCCGGCCUGAGAGGGUGACCGGCCACAUUGGGACUGAGGUACGGCCCAGACUCCUACGGGAGGCAGCAGUGGGGAAUAUUGCACAAUGGGCGGAAGCCUGAUGCAGCAACGCCGCGUGCGGGAUGACCGCCUACGGGUUGUAAACCGCUUUCGCCUGUGACGAAGCGUGAGUGACGGUAAUUGGUAAAGAAGCACCGGCUAACUACGUG
This 468-nucleotide ribosomal RNA is filed under the name uncultured bacterium. RNAcentral describes it as "partial 16S ribosomal RNA". It matches the Rfam family "Bacterial small subunit ribosomal RNA", at positions 28 to 507 of the family's 1533-position model. The record is from RNAcentral.